GGCCGGGUUCUGCGCAAUUGGCGACCGUGAACCGAGUCAGGGCCGGAAGGCAGCAGCUCUCAGCGGAACAGCUGGUGUGCCGCAGGCGACCUGGCCGCU
This 99-nucleotide signal recognition particle RNA is filed under the name Actinomycetota bacterium. RNAcentral describes it as "signal recognition particle sRNA small type". It matches the Rfam family "Bacterial small signal recognition particle RNA". From Rfam's summary of the family: The signal recognition particle (SRP) is a universally conserved ribonucleoprotein involved in the co-translational targeting of proteins to membranes. Archaeal SRP consists of a 7S RNA and homologues of the eukaryotic SRP19 and SRP54 proteins. In most bacteria, the SRP consists of a 4.5S RNA and the Ffh protein (a homologue of the eukaryotic SRP54 protein). The record is from RNAcentral. Lineage: Bacteria; Bacillati; Actinomycetota.